This 253-nucleotide ribosomal RNA is filed under the name uncultured bacterium. Its description in RNAcentral is "partial 16S ribosomal RNA". It matches the Rfam family "Bacterial small subunit ribosomal RNA", at positions 524 to 776 of the family's 1533-position model. The record is from RNAcentral.
UACGUAGGAUGCAAGCGUUGUCCGGAAUUAUUGGGCGUAAAGAGUUCGUAGGCGGUUGCCUAAGUCUGGUGUUAAAUACAGGAGCUCAACUCCUGCAUGGCACUGGAAACUGGGCAGCUAGAGUGUGGUAGAGGUCACGGGAAUUCCAGGUGUAGCGGUGAAAUGCGUAGAUAUCUGGAGGAACACCAGUGGCGAAAGCGCGUGACUGGGCCACAACUGACGCUGAGGAACGAAAGCCAGGGGAGCAAACGGG